UCAAGUGACUAAGUGCAUGUGGCGGAUGCCUUGGCGAUCACAGGCGAAGAAAGACGCGGCAGCCUGCGAAAAGCUGCGGGGAGCUGGCAAACGAGCUUUGAUCCGCAGAUAUCUGAAUGGGGGAACCCACACCGCAAGGUGUAUCCGUGACUGAAUACAUAGGUUACGGAGGCGAACGAGGAGAACUGAAACAUCUAAGUAUCCUCAGGAAAAGAAAUCAACCGAGAUUCCGGCAGUAGCGGCGAGCGAACCCGGAGGAGCCUAGCUUUUGAUAGUACGAACUUUAGCCGAAAGGUCCUGGAAAGGCCUGCUAUAGUGGGUGAUAGCCCCGUAGGCGAAAGAGUUCGUAUGGUACUAAGGAAGCGAGAAGUAGAGCGGGACACGUGGAAUCCUGUUCGAAGAUGGGGGGACCAUCCUCCAAGGCUAAAUACUCGUGAUCGACCGAUAGUGAACCAGUACCGUGAGGGAAAGGCGAAAAGAACCCCGGGAGGGGAGUGAAAUAGAACCUGAAACCGCAUGCAUACAAACAGUAGGAGCCUCACCAGAGGUGACUGCGUACCUUUUGCAUAAUGGGUCAGCGACUUACAUUCUGUGGCGAGCUUAACCGAAUAGGGGAGGCGCAGCGAAAGCGAGUUCGAAAUGAGCGUCCAGUCGCAGGGUGUAGACCCGAAACCAGAUGAGCUAUCCAUGGCCAGGUUGAAGGUGUGGUAACACACACUGGAGGACCGAACCGACUAGUGUUGCAAAAUUAGCGGAUGAGCUGUGGAUAGGGGUGAAAGGCCAAACAAAUCUGGAGAUAGCUGGUUCUCCCCGAAAACUAUUGAGGUAGUGCCUCGUGUGUCGCUCCAGGGGGUAGAGCACUGUUUUGGCUAGGGGGACAUGGAGUCUUACCAAACCAAGGCAAACUCCGAAUACCUGGAAGCGUAAGCACGGGAGACAGAGCACCGGGUGCUAACGUCCGGACUCAAAAGGGAAACAACCCAGACCGCCGGCUAAGGUCCCCAAUAACAGCUAAGUGGAAAACGAAGUGGAAAGGCCGUGACAACCAGGAAGUUGGCUUAGAAGCAGCCAUCCUUCAAAGAAAGCGUAAUAGCUCACUGGUCGAGUCCUUCUGCGCGGAAGAUGUAACGGGGCUAAGCUGUUAACCGAAGCCGCGGAUGCACUGAUUAUUCAGUGCGUGGUAGGGGAGCGUUCUGUAAGUCUGCGAAGGCGGUUCGAGAGGACUGCUGGAGAUAUCAGAAGUGCGAAUGCUGACAUGAGUAACGUUAAAGCAGGUGAAAAGCCUGCUCGCCGUAAGCCCAAGGAUUCCUGCUCUACGUUCAUCGGAGCAGGGUGAGUCGGCUCCUAAGGUCAGGCCGAAAGGCGUAGCCGAUGGGAAUCAGGUUAAUAUUCCUGAACCUGCGUCAGAUGCGAUGGGGGGACGGAGCAUGAAAGAUCAUCCGGGUGUUGGAUGUCCCGGUUGACGAGCGUAGGAGGUCUGCAGGCAAAUCCGCAGACGCAUCUCCGAGGCGAAGACACGUGCCGCCACGGCGGCGAAGUGAUCGGAAGUGCUUCCAAGAAAAGCCUCUAAGCACCAGUCUGACGCGGACCGUACCGCAAACCGACACUGGUGGGCGAGCUGAAUAUGCUCAGGCGCUUGAGAGAACUCGGGAGAAGGAACUCGGCAAAUUGACACCGUAACUUCGGAAGAAGGUGUGCCGUAGUACCGUGAGAGGAGAGACACCUUGAGCGGGAAUCGGUCUCAGAGAAUAGGUGGCUGCGACUGUUUAUUAAAAACACAGCACUCUGCAAAGUCGAAAGACGACGUAUAGGGUGUGAUGCCUGCCCGGUGCUGGAAGAUUAAUUGAUGGGGUGAGAGCCCUUGAUCGAAGUCCCAGUAAACGGCGGCCGUAACUAUAACGGUCCUAAGGUAGCGAAAUUCCUUGUCGGGU
Molecule: ribosomal RNA, 1931 nt
Filed under: human gut metagenome
Description: bacterial LSU rRNA
Rfam family: Bacterial large subunit ribosomal RNA
Source: RNAcentral